GACGAACGCUGGCGGCGUGCUUAACACAUGCAAGUCGAACGGAAAGGCCCUGCUUUUGUGGGGUGCUCGAGUGGCGAACGGGUGAGUAACACGUGAGUAACCUGCCCUUGACUUUGGGAUAACUUCAGGAAACUGGGGCUAAUACCGGAUAGGAGCUCCUGCUGCAUGGUGGGGGUUGGAAAGUUUCGGCGGUUGGGGAUGGACUCGCGGCUUAUCAGCUUGUUGGUGGGGUAGUGGCUUACCAAGGCUUUGACGGGUAGCCGGCCUGAGAGGGCGACCGGCCACAUUGGGACUGAGAUACGGCCCAGACUCCUACGGGAGGCAGCAGUGGGGAAUAUUGCACAAUGGGCGGAAGCCUGAUGCAGCAACGCCGCGUGCGGGAUGACGGCCUUCGGGUUGUAAACCGCUUUCGCCUGGGACGAAGCGUGAGUGACGGUAAUGGGUAAAGAAGCACCGGCUAACUACGUG
Molecule: ribosomal RNA, 468 nt
Filed under: uncultured bacterium
Lineage: Bacteria
Description: partial 16S ribosomal RNA
Rfam family: Bacterial small subunit ribosomal RNA
Source: RNAcentral